This 392-nucleotide ribosomal RNA is filed under the name Acinetobacter sp. oral taxon C51. Its description in RNAcentral is "bacterial SSU rRNA". It matches the Rfam family "Bacterial small subunit ribosomal RNA", at positions 39 to 428 of the family's 1533-position model. The record is from RNAcentral. Lineage: Bacteria; Pseudomonadati; Pseudomonadota; Gammaproteobacteria; Moraxellales; Moraxellaceae.
GCGGCAGGCUUAACACAUGCAAGUCGAGCGGAGGCGAGGGUGCUUGCACCUUAGCUUAGCGGCGGACGGGUGGAGUAAUGCUUUAGGAAUCUGCCUAUUAGUGGGGGACAACAUUCCGAAAGGGAUGCUAAUACCGCAUACGCCCUACGGGGGAAAGCAGGGGAUCUUCGGACCUUGCGCUAAUAGAUGAGCCUAAGUCGGAUUUAGCUAGUUGGUGGGGUAAAGGCCUACCAAGGCGACGAUCUGUAGCGGGUCUGAGAGGAUGAUCCGCCACACUGGGAAUGAGACACGGCCCAGACUCCUACGGGAGGCAGCAGUGGGGAAUAUUGGACAAUGGGGGGAACCCAUGAUCCAGCCAUGCCGCGUGUGUGAAGAAGGCCUUUUGGUUGUAA